Molecule: ribosomal RNA, 235 nt
Filed under: uncultured bacterium
Lineage: Bacteria
Description: partial 16S ribosomal RNA
Rfam family: Bacterial small subunit ribosomal RNA
Source: RNAcentral
CGUGACUAACCUGUCCCAGGGUGGGGGGACAACCUGAGGAAACUCGGGCUAAUACCGCAUGACGUCUCGUUGUCGCAUGACAGUGAGAUCAAAGAGGGCCUCUACAUGUAAGCUCUCGCCCAGGGAGGGGGUCGCGGCGUAUCAGCUUGUUGGUGGGGUAAUGGCCUACCAAGGCUACGACGCGUAGCGGGUCUGAGAGGACGACCCGUCACAUUGGGACUGAGAUACGGCCCAG